Molecule: ribosomal RNA, 301 nt
Filed under: uncultured bacterium
Lineage: Bacteria
Description: partial 16S ribosomal RNA
Rfam family: Bacterial small subunit ribosomal RNA
Source: RNAcentral
CAGCAGCCGCGGUAAUACAGAGGGUGCGAGCGUUAAUCGGAUUUACUGGGCGUAAAGCGUGCGUAGGCGGCUUUUUAAGUCGGAUGUGAAAUCCCUGAGCUUAACUUAGGAAUUGCAUUCGAUACUGGGAAGCUAGAGUAUGGGAGAGGAUGGUAGAAUUCCAGGUGUAGCGGUGAAAUGCGUAGAGAUCUGGAGGAAUACCGAUGGCGAAGGCAGCCAUCUGGCCUAAUACUGACGCUCAGGUGCGAAAGCGUGGGGAGCAAACAGGAUUAGAUACCCCCGUAGUCCCUGUCUCUUAUAC